UUUGUAAUAAUAAUUUGUACAUUAUAAUUGUAAUAGGCCCAAUUUGCCCGGCCCGUUAGUAAAAUAAACCAAAUGAAAAAAACUAAAAUUAAAUAGUCCAAUAAACAGUCCAAAUUACAAAAAAUCCACCAGACCCAAAAUUUAACCCAUACCCAAUCUAAAUUCCUAAAACGGUGGCCCAAUUACAAUAUGGCCCAAUUACACUUAGCCCAAAUCAGCCCAAAACACAAAAAAUACACAGCAAC
Molecule: long non-coding RNA, 245 nt
Filed under: Gossypium raimondii (Peruvian cotton)
Lineage: Eukaryota; Viridiplantae; Streptophyta; Magnoliopsida; Malvales; Malvaceae
Description: long non-coding RNA (GRAI_LNC010102)
Source: RNAcentral